This is a long non-coding RNA of Vicia villosa (hairy vetch), 504 nucleotides long. RefSeq lists it as uncharacterized. NCBI's taxonomy places the organism in Eukaryota, Viridiplantae, Streptophyta, Magnoliopsida, Fabales, Fabaceae. The transcript is spliced from 6 exons. The record is from RefSeq and is a predicted model, not a curated record.
CAGGUCCAGAGAAUAUGAUGUUUGAGGUAUGGAACCCCCUAGGAACCGUAGGUGUAAUCACUGCUUUCAAUUUUCCAUGUGCUGUACUAGGAUGGAAAGCUUGCAUUGCACUAGAAACUAAAAUUGUUACAGCGUAAUAAGAUGGUGUUUUAGCCAGAGCACUGAAUGCUACAAGCAAUAGUUUCCAGAUGAUCUUCUAAAGGAUUCAACAAGAGUUGUCCCUGUUAUGCGAAAGAAGCUUCAAUCAUUGCGAGAAUCGGAUACUACAGGAAGUGGGAAUGAGAAUGAGACAGACAUUGGAUUAGUUUGAAGCGUUGUCAACGUAAAGACUCAGUUGCUUCAAAGCCUGAGAAACUUGACUCAUUAGGUGAUGGAACUUCCAUUUAAUCAGUACUCAUGGCUUACAACUCAUAACUCUUUUUCUUCGAGGGUAGCGAAUUUGAGUAUAAACUCUCAAAUUUCGACUGUCACGAAUCAGGAAGACUCCAUUAUAGAUCAACUGCA